RNAcentral lists this transfer RNA (87 nucleotides) under Bacillota bacterium. Its description in RNAcentral is "Firmicutes bacterium tRNA-Leu". It matches the Rfam family "tRNA". Rfam says of the family: Transfer RNA (tRNA) molecules are approximately 80 nucleotides in length. Lineage: Bacteria; Bacillati; Bacillota. The record is from RNAcentral.
GCCGGGGUGUCGGAACUGGCAGACGAGGCGGACUUAAAAUCCGCUGGGCGCAAGCCCGUGUGGGUUCGAGACCCACCCCCGGCACCA